UCAGCUUUGGAGUCGAAUGCAAUUUGAAAAAGAAGGAUUUAAAUAUUGAAUUACAUCAUUCGGUUACUGAUUGUGAAGUAAACAAUAGCAUAUUAAUAGAUUUUAAAAAUGAAUAUAUUUGGUGUUGUGGAAUGUUACAAAAAAAUGGCCACUGUUUGUAUACAAGAGACUUUUAUGCAGAAAUACAACAUCGCCUAUUAAAAAGUGUUAAUGGAACUAGAAGUGGGACUAUACAUACCUGUAGCUGUCUUGGUCUCGUUGGUGGUCUUGAAGUUCAUGUUCUACCUACUAUUUGGAUAGUAUUAGAGCUACUUCUAAUUUUACCAGUCAAAAGCAUUUAAGGACUGAGAGCUAGUUACUUUUAUAAGUUGAUUUAUUAAAAACUCGAGGUAGGAAUGGAGGUUUUCGUAUUCAUACAGUUAGUAUGCAUAGGUAAUAUGAUACUUUUCUAGUUAUUGUGCUUCGCUUAUACAAUGUAACACACAAACUUUUUCGACUGUUUAUCACAAAGAAGUAUCUCAUCAUUGUUAUUAUGAAGUCUGUAUAAAUAAGAAGAUGGUAUGAAGUAAUUACUGUGAAAAUAAAAGACGUGGCUUUGUUUUUAUUGGUUGGAUUGCAAAACUAUUUGCAGAUUUAAAGUCCAUGUCAUUUUUGGAAUGAAGUUGCCUUAUUAUAAGAUCAUGGAUCAAGAGGAUAAGAGAAAAGAAUCUCUCAAAAAUAAGCAAGCACAGUGUUUUACUUCCAGUGGGUAUAUUUCAUUUAACUGACGUCCAUUUUUGAAUCUACUUGUAGAUUUGAUUCUACAUAUUUUACGCAUGGAAUGAUGAAUUUAAUUAAUCUUAAAAUACUUACUUAUAUAUGUUUAAGCAAAUUUAUGAAAGUUGUCUAUGUAACUAAGUACAAAGUUGUGUGUUAGAUGCCACUUUUUGUUUUAAUUGAGGUGUAAUUCAAAAUCUGAUUGUUAAUUUCAAUUCUACGAGUUAUUUUAAAUGUAUAUGUAAAUGUAUGCUAUUAUAGAAAUACUUUUUGUGCAUGUUGAAAUAAAUUUAGGAAACUGAAGUGUGUAACAGAGCAUAAAGUUGUACGUCAGAUAUCUGUAUUUUUUUUAAUUGAAGUCUAAUUGUAAAUCUGAUUGCAAAUUUAAAUUCUACGGGUCUUUUUACGUUGAUCUGUAUAUGUAUGUUGUUAUAAAAUUACAUUUUGUAUAUAAUGAAAUAAAUUUAGGAAACUGAAGUGUGUAAGAGAUCAUUAAGUUGUACGUCAGGUGUCUGUAUUUUUUUUAAUUGAAGUCUAAUUGUAAAUCUGUUUGCAAAUUUUAAUUCUACAGGUCUUUUUACGUUGAUCUGUAUAUGUAUGUUGUUAUAAAAUUACAUUUUGUAUAUAAUGAAAUAAAUUUAGGAAACUGAAGUGUGUAAGAGAUCAUUAAGUUGUACGUCAGGUGUCUGUAUUUUUUUUAAUUGAAGUCUAAUUGUAAAUCUGUUUGCAAAUUUUAAUUCUACAGGUCUUUUUACGUUGAUCUGUAUAUGUAUGUUGUUAUAAAAUUACAUUUUGUAUAUAAUGAAAUAAAUUUAGGAAACUGAAGUGUGUAAGAGAUCAUUAAGUUGUACGUCAGGUGUCUGUAUUUUUUUUAAUUGAAGUCUAAUUGUAAAUCUGUUUGCAAAUUUUAAUUCUACAGGUCUUUUUACGUUGAUCUGUAUAUGUAUGUUGUUAUAAAAUUACAUUUUGUAUAUAAUGAAAUAAAUUUAGGAAACUGAAGUGUGUAAGAGAUCAUUAAGUUGUACGUCAGGUGUCUGUAUUUUUUUUAAUUGAAGUCUAAUUGUAAAUCUGUUUGCAAAUUUUAAUUCUACAGGUCUUUUUACGUUGAUCUGUAUAUGUAUGUUGUUAUAAAAUUACAUUUUGUAUAUAAUGAAAUAAAUUUAGGAAACUGAAGUGUGUAAGAGAUCAUUAAGUUGUACGUCAGGUGUCUGUAUUUUUUUUAAUUGAAGUCUAAUUGUAAAUCUGUUUGCAAAUUUUAAUUCUACAGGUCUUUUUACGUUGAUCUGUAUAUGUAUGUUGUUAUAAAAUUACAUUUUGUAUAUAAUGAAAUAAAUUUAGGAAACUGAAGUGUGUAAGAGAUCAUUAAGUUGUACGUCAGGUGUCUGUAUUUUUUUUAAUUGAAGUCUAAUUGUAAAUCUGUUUGCAAAUUUUAAUUCUACAGGUCUUUUUACGUUGAUCUGUAUAUGUAUGUUGUUAUAAAAUUACAUUUUGUAUAUAAUGAAAUAAAUUUAGGAAACUGAAGUGUGUAAGAGAUCAUUAAGUUGUACGUCAGGUGUCUGUAUUUUUUUUAAUUGAAGUCUAAUUGUAAAUCUGUUUGCAAAUUUUAAUUCUACAGGUCUUUUUACGUUGAUCUGUAUAUGUAUGUUGUUAUAAAAUUACAUUUUGUAUAUAAUGAAAUAAAUUUAGGAAACUGAAGUGUGUAAGAGAUCAUUAAGUUGUACGUCAGGUGUCUGUAUUUUUUUUAAUUGAAGUCUAAUUGUAAAUCUGUUUGCAAAUUUUAAUUCUACAGGUCUUUUUACGUUGAUCUGUAUAUGUAUGUUGUUAUAAAAUUACAUUUUGUAUAUAAUGAAAUAAAUUUAGGAAACUGAAGUGUGUAAGAGAUCAUUAAGUUGUACGUCAGGUGUCUGUAUUUUUUUUAAUUGAAGUCUAAUUGUAAAUCUGUUUGCAAAUUUUAAUUCUACAGGUCUUUUUACGUUGAUCUGUAUAUGUAUGUUGUUAUAAAAUUACAUUUUGUAUAUAAUGAAAUAAAUUUAGGAAACUGAAGUGUGUAAGAGAUCAUUAAGUUGUACGUCAGGUGUCUGUAUUUUUUUUAAUUGAAGUCUAAUUGUAAAUCUGUUUGCAAAUUUUAAUUCUACAGGUCUUUUUACGUUGAUCUGUAUAUGUAUGUUGUUAUAAAAUUACAUUUUGUAUAUAAUGAAAUAAAUUUAGGAAACUGAAGUGUGUAAGAGAUCAUUAAGUUGUACGUCAGGUGUCUGUAUUUUUUUUAAUUGAAGUCUAAUUGUAAAUCUGUUUGCAAAUUUUAAUUCUACAGGUCUUUUUACGUUGAUCUGUAUAUGUAUGUUGUUAUAAAAUUACAUUUUGUAUAUAAUGAAAUAAAUUUAGGAAACUGAAGUGUGUAAGAGAUCAUUAAGUUGUACGUCAGGUGUCUGUAUUUUUUUUAAUUGAAGUCUAAUUGUAAAUCUGUUUGCAAAUUUUAAUUCUACAGGUCUUUUUACGUUGAUCUGUAUAUGUAUGUUGUUAUAAAAUUACAUUUUGUAUAUAAUGAAAUAAAUUUAGGAAACUGAAGUGUGUAAGAGAUCAUUAAGUUGUACGUCAGGUGUCUGUAUUUUUUUUAAUUGAAGUCUAAUUGUAAAUCUGUUUGCAAAUUUUAAUUCUACAGGUCUUUUUACGUUGAUCUGUAUAUGUAUGUUGUUAUAAAAUUACAUUUUGUAUAUAAUGAAAUAAAUUUAGGAAACUGAAGUGUGUAAGAGAUCAUUAAGUUGUACGUCAGGUGUCUGUAUUUUUUUUAAUUGAAGUCUAAUUGUAAAUCUGUUUGCAAAUUUUAAUUCUACAGGUCUUUUUACGUUGAUCUGUAUAUGUAUGUUGUUAUAAAAUUACAUUUUGUAUAUAAUGAAAUAAAUUUAGGAAACUGAAGUGUGUAAGAGAUCAUUAAGUUGUACGUCAGGUGUCUGUAUUUUUUUUAAUUGAAGUCUAAUUGUAAAUCUGUUUGCAAAUUUUAAUUCUACAGGUCUUUUUACGUUGAUCUGUAUAUGUAUGUUGUUAUAAAAUUACAUUUUGUAUAUAAUGAAAUAAAUUUAGGAAACUGAAGUGUGUAAGAGAUCAUUAAGUUGUACGUCAGGUGUCUGUAUUUUUUUUAAUUGAAGUCUAAUUGUAAAUCUGUUUGCAAAUUUUAAUUCUACAGGUCUUUUUACGUUGAUCUGUAUAUGUAUGUUGUUAUAAAAUUACAUUUUGUAUAUAAUGAAAUAAAUUUAGGAAACUGAAGUGUGUAAGAGAUCAUUAAGUUGUACGUCAGGUGUCUGUAUUUUUUUUAAUUGAAGUCUAAUUGUAAAUCUGUUUGCAAAUUUUAAUUCUACAGGUCUUUUUACGUUGAUCUGUAUAUGUAUGUUGUUAUAAAAUUACAUUUUGUAUAUAAUGAAAUAAAUUUAGGAAACUGAAGUGUGUAAGAGAUCAUUAAGUUGUACGUCAGGUGUCUGUAUUUUUUUUAAUUGAAGUCUAAUUGUAAAUCUGUUUGCAAAUUUUAAUUCUACAGGUCUUUUUACGUUGAUCUGUAUAUGUAUGUUGUUAUAAAAUUACAUUUUGUAUAUAAUGAAAUAAAUUUAGGAAACUGAAGUGUGUAAGAGAUCAUUAAGUUGUACGUCAGGUGUCUGUAUUUUUUUUAAUUGAAGUCUAAUUGUAAAUCUGUUUGCAAAUUUUAAUUCUACAGGUCUUUUUACGUUGAUCUGUAUAUGUAUGUUGUUAUAAAAUUACAUUUUGUAUAUAAUGAAAUAAAUUUAGGAAACUGAAGUGUGUAAGAGAUCAUUAAGUUGUACGUCAGGUGUCUGUAUUUUUUUUAAUUGAAGUCUAAUUGUAAAUCUGUUUGCAAAUUUUAAUUCUACAGGUCUUUUUACGUUGAUCUGUAUAUGUAUGUUGUUAUAAAAUUACAUUUUGUAUAUAAUGAAAUAAAUUUAGGAAACUGAAGUGUGUAAGAGAUCAUUAAGUUGUACGUCAGGUGUCUGUAUUUUUUUUAAUUGAAGUCUAAUUGUAAAUCUGUUUGCAAAUUUUAAUUCUACAGGUCUUUUUACGUUGAUCUGUAUAUGUAUGUUGUUAUAAAAUUACAUUUUGUAUAUAAUGAAAUAAAUUUAGGAAACUGAAGUGUGUAAGAGAUCAUUAAGUUGUACGUCAGGUGUCUGUAUUUUUUUUAAUUGAAGUCUAAUUGUAAAUCUGUUUGCAAAUUUUAAUUCUACAGGUCUUUUUACGUUGAU
Molecule: long non-coding RNA, 4997 nt
Filed under: Agrilus planipennis (emerald ash borer)
Lineage: Eukaryota; Metazoa; Arthropoda; Insecta; Coleoptera; Buprestidae
Description: uncharacterized LOC112905706, transcript variant X3
Source: RNAcentral